This is a non-coding RNA of Albula glossodonta (roundjaw bonefish), 73 nucleotides long. Lineage: Eukaryota; Metazoa; Chordata; Actinopteri; Albuliformes; Albulidae. The record is from the annotation of a GenBank genome assembly.
GGGGAGUUAACUCAAAUGGUAGAGCGCUCGCUUAGUAUGCGAGAGGUAGCAGGAUCAACACCCACAUUCUCCA